ACCUGGGUGGCUCAGUGUUUGAGCGUCUGACUUCGGCUCAGGUCAUGAUCCUGGUGACCCGGGAUCGAAUCCCGCAUCAGGUU
This 83-nucleotide transfer RNA is filed under the name Canis lupus familiaris (dog). It matches the Rfam family "tRNA". Rfam says of the family: Transfer RNA (tRNA) molecules are approximately 80 nucleotides in length. Their secondary structure includes four short double-helical elements and three loops (D, anti-codon, and T loops). RNAcentral also lists the same sequence under 1 other name. Lineage: Eukaryota; Metazoa; Chordata; Mammalia; Carnivora; Canidae. The record is from Rfam by way of RNAcentral.